CAGCCGCGUAAUUCCAGCUCCAAUAGCGUAUAUUAAAGUUGUUGCAGUUAAAAAGCUCGUAGUUGAAUUUCGGGAUCAAUAUGUUGGUCGUGCCUUUGGUACGUACUAGCUUAUUGAUUUCUCCCUUCUGACGAACCAUGAUGUCAUUAAUUUGGUGUCAUGGGGAAUCAGGACUGUUACUUUGAAAAAAUUAGAGUGUUUAAAGCAGGCUUACGCUUGAAUAUAUUAGCAUGGAAUAAUGAAAUAGGACGUUUUGAUUCUAUUUUGUUGGUUUCUAGGAUCGACGUAAUGAUUAAUAGGGAUAGUUGGGGGCAUUAGUAUUCAAUUGUCAGAGGUGAAAUUCUUGGAUUUAUUGAAGACUAACUACUGCGAAAGCAUUUGCCAAGGAUGUUUUCAUUAAUCAAGAACGAAAGUUAGGGGAUCGAAGACGAUCAGAUACCGUCGUAGUCUUAACCAUAAACUAUGCCGACUAGGGAUCGGAUGAUGUUAAUUUUUUAAUGACUCAUUCGGCGCCUUACG
RNAcentral lists this unclassified non-coding RNA (519 nucleotides) under uncultured Glomeromycotina. RNAcentral's name for it is "SSU rRNA". It matches the Rfam family "Eukaryotic small subunit ribosomal RNA", at positions 571 to 1092 of the family's 1831-position model. The record is from RNAcentral. Lineage: Eukaryota; Fungi; Glomeromycota.